Quercus lobata is the source of this 442-nucleotide long non-coding RNA. RefSeq lists it as uncharacterized. The record is from RefSeq and is a predicted model, not a curated record. The transcript is spliced from 3 exons. NCBI's taxonomy places the organism in Eukaryota, Viridiplantae, Streptophyta, Magnoliopsida, Fagales, Fagaceae.
GUCCUCACUUCUCCUCACUUCUCUUUUCUUUCUUUUUCUUCUUUUUCAUUUCUGUCUAGCACUUCUCUUCACUCCCUCAUCCUCUCCCACGGUACUCACUCCAAAUCAACAUCUCCACCACCAUUUUUCUGGCAAGAUCACCGGAAAAUUCUUGUGAACCCAUAAACACCUUCACAUCUUUUUUUUGAGGUUUGCUUGAUGUUGUUGAGGUUCUAGCUAAUCUCCUUUGGAGCUUGGAGAAUUAGGUUUUUGCGUUUGCGAGUCUUUGUGACAAUGGAAUUAAAUCCAGGUCAGUGCUCUUUCACUUUGGAUGACGCAUUCUUCCCUGCUGCCUAUGGAGGGAAGAGGUUUCUUAAUUGUGUGUGGGUAAGGCUACUGCCCAUGGGGCCAAGAGACCACAUGCAAGAGAGGUCCUGUUUGACGCGCUCUCUCUGCUGCCCAU